CGCCAGACUCCUACGGGAGGCAGCAGUGGGGAAUAUUGCACAAUGGGGGAAACCCUGAUGCAGCGACGCCGCGUGAGUGAAGAAGUAUUUCGGUAUGUAAAGCUCUAUCAGCAGGGAAGAAAAUGACGGUACCUGAUUAAGAAGCCCCGGCUAACUACGUGCCAGCAGCCGCGGUAAUACGUAGGGGGCAAGCGUUAUCCGGAUUUACUGGGUGUAAAGGGAGCGUAGACGGUGAUGCAAGUCAGAAGUGAAAGCCCGGGGCUCAACUCCGGGACUGCUUUUGAAACUGUGUGACUGGAGUGCAGGAGAGGUAAGCGGAAUUCCUGGUGUAGCGGUGAAAUGCGUAGAUAUCAGGAGGAACACCAGUGGCGAAGGCGGCUUACUGGACUGUAACUGACGUUGAGGCUCGAAAGCGUGGGGAGCAAACAGGAUUAGAUACCCCAGUA
RNAcentral lists this ribosomal RNA (446 nucleotides) under uncultured bacterium. RNAcentral's name for it is "bacterial SSU rRNA". It matches the Rfam family "Bacterial small subunit ribosomal RNA", at positions 329 to 792 of the family's 1533-position model. The record is from RNAcentral.